Molecule: long non-coding RNA, 1081 nt
Organism: Cydia fagiglandana
Lineage: Eukaryota; Metazoa; Arthropoda; Insecta; Lepidoptera; Tortricidae
Exons: 2
Source: RefSeq, a predicted model, not a curated record
AUUAUUGAGGACGACAUCUACAAAAGAAACACGCGAUUUAGAGAAGCUGUAUCACCGGAAGAAAAGCUGGCAGUGACAUUAAGGUACUUGAUUAGUGGCUGUUCAUUUAGGACUAUGAGUUCAAGCUUUCGGUUAGGCGAAAGUACCAUCCGGUCGAUAUUAAAAGAUGUGUGCAAUGCGAUUAUAAAUACAAUGAAGGGGAAGUUCAUGCCCACACCUACUACCGAAGACUGGAAAAGAAUCGCAGAUGGUUUCAAUAAAAAAUGGAAUUUUCCAAACUGUAUAGGUGCCAUCGACGGCAAACAUGUAAACAUAAUUGCCCCUCCUAGCAGCGGCUCGCUAUUUUUUAAUUAUAAAAAACACUUCUCUAUCGUCCUCAUGGCUAUCGUCGAUGAUAGAUACAGAUUUAUAGCUGUCGAUAUAGGGGCCUAUGGCAGGAAUAGUGAUGGCGGAAUUUUGGCAUCGUCAAGAUUAGGAAGAGCGAUUGAAAUGAAUACAUUUAAUAUUCCAACUGACACACCAUUACCUGGUACUGAAAUAAUAAUGCCACAUGUUUUUGUAGCCGACGAAGCGUUUCCUUUAAAAAGGAAUUUAUUGCGACCAUAUCCACGUUCAAGUGGCAUUUCAGAAAAGGAAAGAAUAUACAAUAAUCGCUUAUCGCGAGCUCGCAGAGUAGUUGAAAACGCGUUCGGCAUCUUAUAUCAAAAAUUUGGAAUUUAUAAUAAGAAUUUGCAUUUACACCCAAAAUAUGUUGAUAUUGUGGUCUUUGCGACGUGUAUUUUACACAAUGUCAUGCGGUGUUAUAAUAUAACAUCCGAUGAUGAAGUCAACACAAGGCAGAGUUCGGCCAAUAAUGAUGAUGAACAGAGAUUACUAAGUACACUUCCAGAAGAUAUAAGUGAAUCUUCGGCAUCUGCUUUUGAAACUCGUGAUAUGUUUGCAACUUAUUUUCAAUCUCCCAAAGGACGAGUUCCGUGGCAGCAUUUAAUAUAGAUCAUGGAUAAUUAAUAUGUAAUAAUCAUAAGAAGUUGGUUAUAAUAUUAUUGGCUUAUUAAGAAUAUUAAACAAGUUUCUAUACUAA